AUAGUAUUGUUUAAGUGGGCAUCCAAACAAAUCAUGCAAUGUUUUAAAAUUCAAAAACACCACCAUUAUGUUAGAUUGUGGUCUUGAUGCAAUGUCAGUUCUUCACUUUUUGCCACUCCCUCUUAUUCCAAGUUCUAGAUUAGCUAAUCUUUCAACUUGGAUACCUCGCAAUUCUAAUGAUGCUCAGUUAGAAGGAGAAUUAAGAGAAUGUGCCGGAAGAGUAUUUAUUGAUAGUUCACCAGAAUUUUGCUUACCUGAGGU
Molecule: long non-coding RNA, 261 nt
Organism: Centruroides sculpturatus (bark scorpion)
Lineage: Eukaryota; Metazoa; Arthropoda; Arachnida; Scorpiones; Buthidae
Exons: 3
Source: RefSeq, a predicted model, not a curated record